CACCAAGGCAUUGCUGCUAUAUACAAUAACCAGAGACACAGAAACAAAGAAUGGGAAAUGCACCAUGGAAAGUCGAGAUUAUUCAGAUAAAGGAGAUGGGGCAAUAUCACAAGGAGGGCCUUCAGGCGGUAGAGGUCGGCCUACAAUAUGUGGGUUACGGACUGUUGAUUGUUGGAAUCGGCGUUGGCUUCGGCCUCGUCAGUGUGGCGUUAGGUCUUACUUUGGGUUUAAGAUCCAAAAAUAGCAAUACAAAGACUUGAGCGUUGACGAAGAAGAUCUUAACGAGUCAGUGUACAUUUUAGCCAAACAUUUUUCGUAUAUUAGUAACCCAGCAAUUGUUGUUGGGGUGAGCGAAGCGAGUUCCUAUACCUAGUCAUCAAUGUUGAAAUUUUGUCUGUCUGUCUGGCCUUGACCUUAUUUUUUACUCAAACUUUUUACCCAUGUUACUAUUUUAUCCAUAAUUUUGCUUUUUAUCACACUGCUUCUCAGUUAUGAAGAGCCA
This is a long non-coding RNA of Halichondria panicea, 502 nucleotides long. RefSeq lists it as uncharacterized. NCBI's taxonomy places the organism in Eukaryota, Metazoa, Porifera, Demospongiae, Suberitida, Halichondriidae. The record is from RefSeq and is a predicted model, not a curated record. The transcript has 3 exons.